RNAcentral lists this small RNA (270 nucleotides) under Microcebus murinus (gray mouse lemur). RNAcentral describes it as "Metazoan signal recognition particle RNA (ENSMICG00000041950.1)". The stretch from base 1 to 152 matches the Rfam family "Metazoan signal recognition particle RNA". Rfam says of the family: The signal recognition particle (SRP) is a universally conserved ribonucleoprotein. It is involved in the co-translational targeting of proteins to membranes. The eukaryotic SRP consists of a 300-nucleotide 7S RNA and six proteins: SRPs 72, 68, 54, 19, 14, and 9. The record is from RNAcentral. Lineage: Eukaryota; Metazoa; Chordata; Mammalia; Primates; Cheirogaleidae.
GCCGGGCAUGGUGGCGCAUACCUGUAGUCCCAGCUACUUGGGAGGCUGAGGUAGGAGGAUCGCUUGAGCCCAGGAGUUGGAGGUUGCUGUGAGCUAGGCUGACGCCACGGCACUCACUCUAGCCUGGGCAAUAAAGUGAGACACUGUCUCAAAAAAAAAAAAAAAAAAAAGAGACAGGGUCUUCUUCUGUCACCCAGGCUGCAGUGCAGUGGUGCGAUCACAGUUCACUGUAACCUUGACCUCCUGGGCUCAAGCGAUCCUCCUGCUUCA